This 852-nucleotide ribosomal RNA is filed under the name Curvularia tuberculata. Its description in RNAcentral is "eukaryotic LSU rRNA". It matches the Rfam family "Eukaryotic large subunit ribosomal RNA", at positions 68 to 938 of the family's 3401-position model. Lineage: Eukaryota; Fungi; Ascomycota; Dothideomycetes; Pleosporales; Pleosporaceae. The record is from RNAcentral.
ACAGGGAUUGCCCUAGUAACGGCGAGUGAAGCGGCAACAGCUCAAAUUUGAAAUCUGGCUCUUUCAGAGUCCGAGUUGUAAUUUGCAGAGGGCGCUUUGGCUUUGGCAGCGGUCCAAGUUCCUUGGAACAGGACGUCACAGAGGGUGAGAAUCCCGUACGUGGUCGCUAGCUAUUGCCGUGUAAAGCCCCUUCGACGAGUCGAGUUGUUUGGGAAUGCAGCUCUAAAUGGGAGGUAAAUUUCUUCUAAAGCUAAAUAUUGGCCAGAGACCGAUAGCGCACAAGUAGAGUGAUCGAAAGAUGAAAAGCACUUUGGAAAGAGAGUCAAACAGCACGUGAAAUUGUUGAAAGGGAAGCGCUUGCAGCCAGACUUGCUUGCAGUUGCUCAUCCGGGCUUUUGCCCGGUGCACUCUUCUGCAGGCAGGCCAGCAUCAGUUUGGGCGGUGGGAUAAAGGUCUCUGUCACGUACCUCUCUUCGGGGAGGCCUUAUAGGGGAGGCGACAUACCACCAGCCUGGACUGAGGUCCGCGCAUCUGCUAGGAUGCUGGCGUAAUGGCUGUAAGCGGCCCGUCUUGAAACACGGACCAAGGAGUCUAACAUCUAUGCGAGUGUUUGGGUGUCAAGCCCGAGCGCGUAAUGAAAGUGAACGGAGGUGGGAACCCGCAAGGGCGCACCAUCGACCGAUCCUGAAGUUUACGGAAGGAUUUGAGUAAGAGCAUGGCUGUUGGGACCCGAAAGAUGGUGAACUAUGCUUGAAUAGGGUGAAGCCAGAGGAAACUCUGGUGGAGGCUCGCAGCGGUUCUGACGUGCAAAUCGAUCGUCAAAUUUGGGCAUAGGGGCGAAAGACUAAUCGA